AUUGAACGCUGGCGGCAGGCCUAACACAUGCAAGUCGAGCGGAUGAAGGGAGCUUGCUCCUGGAUUCAGCGGCGGACGGGUGAGUAAUGCCUAGGAAUCUGCCUGGUAGUGGGGGAUAACGUCCGGAAACGGGCGCUAAUACCGCAUACGUCCUGAGGGAGAAAGUGGGGGAUCUUCGGACCUCACGCUAUCAGAUGAGCCUAGGUCGGAUUAGCUAGUUGGUGGGGUAAAGGCCUACCAAGGCGACGAUCCGUAACUGGUCUGAGAGGAUGAUCAGUCACACUGGAACUGAGACACGGUCCAGACUCCUACGGGAGGCAGCAGUGGGGAAUAUUGGACAAUGGGCGAAAGCCUGAUCCAGCCAUGCCGCGUGGGUGAAGAAGGGCUUCGGAUUGUAAAGCAAUUUAAGUUGGGAGGAAGGGCAGUAAGUUAAUACCUUGCUGUUUUGACGUUACCAACAGAAUAAGCACCGGCUAACUUCGG
This 483-nucleotide ribosomal RNA is filed under the name uncultured bacterium. RNAcentral's name for it is "partial 16S ribosomal RNA". It matches the Rfam family "Bacterial small subunit ribosomal RNA", at positions 30 to 506 of the family's 1533-position model. The record is from RNAcentral.